CAGCCCUGUAGGAGACACCUCCAGAGAAAGUAACAGCUCUCAAUUGAUUAGCUGAGGAGACCGAUUUUGUAAAUCACUACUUUUCUAACAACACUGGCACAGAUGGCCAAGCAUUCUCCCUUUUCUCAGAGCUGGUUUUCCAUCCCGGAAAGAGAAUAAACAGAUGCUUUUACAGCUCGCCUUGGCGGGAAGAUCUGGCACAAAUGAAGUAUCUAUAAGGAGCAGCAGAGUCAAGGUGGUGAUCCUGUGGAUGAAUAACUGAAACCUGAUAUACUUGACAGCAGAAAAUAUAAAGCAAAUUGAAAAGGAGAGAGUGUGGAGAUAAAUAAGAAAAUGAAAGAACUGAUAAAGUCACUUGGAUUAAAAAA
Molecule: long non-coding RNA, 368 nt
Filed under: Homo sapiens (human)
Lineage: Eukaryota; Metazoa; Chordata; Mammalia; Primates; Hominidae
Description: non-protein coding lnc-FTCDNL1-4:47
Source: RNAcentral